AGCAGAUGGCCACAUGGGGACCAGUGAGUCCCAGAGCAAGAAUCAGCAGCUCAUCCCAGCACAACAGAGAUGAAUGAAAAGGAUUUUAAACAGACGAUGGAUACAGCAGCUUCAGGCAUCAUUUUCUCUCGAGACUUCAUGCAAAGUUCAACAUUGGGCAAAAUUAAAGGACAUUCUCAAGAUAAAUUGAUACACUUCAAACCGUCUGGAAUUCAAGCAGCUUUGAUUUUAAGUAAGUACUGUUUUCCUAUAUGCUUGUGGACAUUUUAGAGUGAUUAACAUAUAGGCCAUAAGGUAAACUAUAGAAAGAAUGGAAUUUAUGUAUUUUUAUUAUACUUCACACAAUCAAAAGAUUUUGUAUUCCUUUCCUAAAUGAG
Cavia porcellus (domestic guinea pig) is the source of this 377-nucleotide long non-coding RNA. RefSeq lists it as uncharacterized. NCBI's taxonomy places the organism in Eukaryota, Metazoa, Chordata, Mammalia, Rodentia, Caviidae. The record is from RefSeq and is a predicted model, not a curated record. The transcript has 3 exons.